Molecule: long non-coding RNA, 343 nt
Filed under: Brachypodium distachyon (stiff brome)
Lineage: Eukaryota; Viridiplantae; Streptophyta; Magnoliopsida; Poales; Poaceae
Description: long non-coding RNA (BDIS_LNC000793)
Source: RNAcentral
UACAACCGCCUUUCUUAAAAAACUAGAUGAUGCCCCGCACGUUGCUGCAAAUUUUUUUACUUAACAUAUUCAGCAACUGAGUAACAACGAAAAGAGUAUCCUGUGUGUGUGUGUGUGUGUAUAUCUCACAGAUUCUUUACUUUCUGGACACCAACAAAGUUAAAGCAUUAUCUAAGAAUGGCACCAAAUGUUUAUCGGUUCACUUGGCAAGGGAAUUUCAACGCUCAGCUAUAACCCGAAAGAAUUUUGCAAACAAACAAAAACCUUAUGGUCUAACUAAAUAACAAAAAAAACACAAUCAUUUCAUUACUUUGUACUAAAUUCAAGAUACUUCUUAUGGAUC